UACGUAGGGUGCAAGCGUUAUUCGGAUUUACUGGGCUUAAAGGGUGCGUAGGUGGACUUGUAAGUCAGUGGUGAAAUCUCCGAGCUUAACUUGGAAACUGCCAUUGAUACUAUUAGUCUUGAAUACUGUGGAGGUUAGCGGAAUAUGUCAUGUAGCGGUGAAAUGCUUAGAUAUGACAUAGAACACCAAUUGCGAAGGCAGCUGGCUACACAAAUAUUGACACUGAGGCACGAAAGCGUGGGGAUCAAACAGG
This 253-nucleotide ribosomal RNA is filed under the name uncultured bacterium. RNAcentral describes it as "partial 16S ribosomal RNA". It matches the Rfam family "Bacterial small subunit ribosomal RNA", at positions 524 to 776 of the family's 1533-position model. The record is from RNAcentral.